UUGUAAAGAACAGAUGAGAUAAAGUGAGACGGAAUGAUGGUGUUAAUGGGACUAUUCCAUCACGAAAACAGCAUGGAAAAUUCUGCUGAAACAAACCUUUCCAAAGUCAGUGAUAAACAUCUCUUGCCAAAUGCAAAUGCCUCAUUCAGACCUGACCUCCAGCAGUUCCAACAAGGUAACCUUCAUGGAAGAGUCACAUUCAGGAAUAUUUGGUGCAGAUGCCAGAGGCAGAGAAAAAAUUUUCUUUAAAACCACCAUGAGAUUCAGUCUCUUCUGCUCCAUACACAAGGUUGUGCAGACCUAAAGGGAGGAGAGGAACAUGCAGCUGUGGCAAACCUCAGAGCUGCUGAAGUUGUGUGGAAGGCAAACUGAAAUGUAAAGCCUAGUCUCGGCACCAAAGGCCCCAGGGAAGCUGCAGAGCCAUGUGGGGAGAGUUACGGUGUUUGCUUCUGAUGUGCUUGUCUGGGGUGGGUUGAGGUCUCUAGGAAGCAGAGGAAAGUAUCCAUCUGUCUAAAGUUCCCAUGAGGUGGAGCAGGGCUAUUUCUGUUUUACAGAUGACAAAUGGAUCUCUUCAAAGGCUAAUUCCAGUCACUGAACACCAAAAAACUGGGCUGCUCGUCUGAAGAAGCCCCUCUGUUUCCACAAGCUGUAGGAAAAACAAAGAUUUGUUUAGCUAUAGGCAACCUUCCAUUAAUCUCCCCCACUUUAACCCUCCCCCAAAGAGAGAAUUUUUCUAGGUCAUGCAGAAGAGAUUAAAUAGUACCUUAGAGCAAGGAAUGUCUCCCCCUCCUUAUAAUUGCCAGGCUGGC
Molecule: long non-coding RNA, 809 nt
Organism: Corvus hawaiiensis (hawaiian crow)
Lineage: Eukaryota; Metazoa; Chordata; Aves; Passeriformes; Corvidae
Exons: 3
Source: RefSeq, a predicted model, not a curated record